UCAGCCCUUCGGGACUGAGUUUAGUGGCAAACGGGUGAGUAACGCGUGAGGAACCUGCCUUUCAGUGGGGGACAACAGUUGGAAACGACUGCUGAUACCGCAUAAUGCUUUUUGAUGGCAUCGUUGAAAAGCCAAAGAUUUAUUGCUGAAAGAUGGCCUCGCGUCUGAUUAGCCAGUUGGUGGGGUAACGGCUCACCAAGGCGACGAUCAGUAGCCGGUCUGAGAGGAUGAACGGCCACAUUGGGACUGAGAUACGGCCCAGACUCC
Molecule: ribosomal RNA, 267 nt
Filed under: uncultured bacterium
Lineage: Bacteria
Description: partial 16S ribosomal RNA
Rfam family: Bacterial small subunit ribosomal RNA
Source: RNAcentral